CAGGUCGAACGGCAGCAGGCCAUGUAGCAAUAUAUGGUGCUGGCGAGUGGCGAACUGGUGAGUAACACGUAAGAAUCUACCCUGAGGUGGGAGAUAACUCAUGGAAACAUGAGCUAAUACCGCAUAAUGCGAAGCUUAUAGCGAUAUAAGUUUUGUUAAAGGAGAAAUCCGCCACAGGAUGAGCUUGCGUCCCAUUAGCUAGUUGGCGGGGUAAAUGCCCACCAAGGCUAUGAUGGGUAGCUGGCCUGAGAGGGUGGUCAGCCACACUGGGACUGAGAUACGGCCCAGACUCCUACGGGAGGCAGCAGCUAAGAAUCUUCCUCAAUGGGGGAAACCCUGAAGGAGCGACACUGCGUGCAGGAUGAAGGCCCUUUGGGUUGUAAACUGCUUUUGCAGGGGAGAAAUAACCGAAUGGGAUGAUAGUACUCUGCGAAUAAGUCCCGGCUAACUACGUGCCAGCAGCCGCGGUAAUACGUAAGGGGCGAACGUUGCUCGGAAUCACUGGGCGUAAAGGGCCGGUAGGUGGCUUUAUAAGUCGGUUGUCAAAUACCUAUGCUCAACGUAGGAGAGGCGACCGAUACUGUAGAGCUUGAGUAGAGGAUGGGAUGAUGGAAUACCCGGUGUAGGGGUGAAAUCUGUUGAUAUCGGGUAGAACACCGAUGGCGAAAGCGAUCAUCUAGCCUCAUACUG
This 690-nucleotide ribosomal RNA is filed under the name uncultured bacterium. RNAcentral's name for it is "bacterial SSU rRNA". It matches the Rfam family "Bacterial small subunit ribosomal RNA", at positions 58 to 742 of the family's 1533-position model. The record is from RNAcentral.